RNAcentral lists this ribosomal RNA (279 nucleotides) under uncultured bacterium. RNAcentral's name for it is "partial 16S ribosomal RNA". It matches the Rfam family "Bacterial small subunit ribosomal RNA", at positions 506 to 784 of the family's 1533-position model. The record is from RNAcentral.
UGCCAGCCGCCGCGGUAAUACGGAGGGUGCGAGCGUUAAUCGGAAUUACUGGGCGUAAAGCGCGUGUAGGCGGUUCGUUAAGUCUGAUGUGAAAGCCCGGGGCUCAACCCCGGAAGUGCGUUGGAUACUGGCAGUCUUGAGUAUGGGAGAGGAAAGUGGAAUUCCGAGUGUAGGAGUGAAAUCCGUAGAUAUUCGGAGGAACACCAGUGGCGAAGGCGGCUAACUGGCUCGGUACUGACGCUGAGAUGCGAAAGCGUGGGGAGCAAACAGGAUUAGAUA